UGGAGGCAGCAGUGGGGAAUAUUGGUCAAUGGGCGCAAGCCUGAACCAGCCAUCCCGCGUGCAGGAAGAAGGCGCUAUGCGUCGUAAACUGCUUUUCCAGGGGAAGAAAACCUGAUACGUGUAUCGGCUUGCCGGUACCCUGGGAAUAAGCAUCGGCUAACUCCGUGCCAGCAGCCGCGGUAAUACGGAGGAUGCGAGCGUUAUCCGGAUUUAUUGGGUUUAAAGGGUGCGUAGGCGGAUUAAUAAGUCAGUGGUGAAAACCUUCAGCUUAACUGGAGACUUGCCAUUGAUACUGUUAGUCUUGAGUACGGUCAAGGUAGGCGGAAUGUGUAAUGUAGCGGUGAAAUGCUUAGAUAUUACACAGAACACCGAUUGCGAAGGCAGCUUACUGGGCCAUUACUGACGCUGAUGCACGAAAGCGUGGGGAGCGAACAGGAUUAGAUACCCCGGUAGG
RNAcentral lists this ribosomal RNA (454 nucleotides) under uncultured bacterium. RNAcentral's name for it is "bacterial SSU rRNA". It matches the Rfam family "Bacterial small subunit ribosomal RNA", at positions 343 to 794 of the family's 1533-position model. The record is from RNAcentral.